CCCUCCAUCUGACUCCUGUCAACCACAGAUCUUUCUAUUGCCUCCAUAGUUUUGUCUUCUCCAGAAUGUCAUAUAGUUGGAAUCACACAGUA
Ceratotherium simum simum (southern white rhinoceros) is the source of this 92-nucleotide non-coding RNA. NCBI's taxonomy places the organism in Eukaryota, Metazoa, Chordata, Mammalia, Perissodactyla, Rhinocerotidae. The record is from RefSeq and is a predicted model, not a curated record.